Molecule: ribosomal RNA, 392 nt
Filed under: uncultured Gammaproteobacteria bacterium
Lineage: Bacteria; Pseudomonadati; Pseudomonadota; Gammaproteobacteria
Description: bacterial SSU rRNA
Rfam family: Bacterial small subunit ribosomal RNA
Source: RNAcentral
AAUGGGGGCAACCCUGAUCUAGCCAUGCCGCGUGUGUGAUGAAGGCCCUAGGGUCGUAAAGCACUUUCGCCAGAGAUGAUAAUGACAGUAUCUGGUAAAGAAACCCCGGCUAACUCCGUGCCAGCAGCCGCGGUAAUACGGAGGGGGUUAGCGUUGUUCGGAAUUACUGGGCGUAAAGCGCACGUAGGCGGAUUAGUAAGUUAGAGGUGAAAUCCCAGGGCUCAACCCUGGAACUGCCUUUAAUACUGCUAGUCUUGAGUUCGAGAGAGGUAAGUGGAAUUCCGAGUGUAGAGGUGAAAUUCGUAGAUAUUCGGAGGAACACCAGUGGCGAAGGCGGCUUACUGGCUCGAUACUGACGCUGAGGUGCGAAAGUGUGGGGAGCAAACAGGAUU